Molecule: ribosomal RNA, 414 nt
Filed under: uncultured bacterium
Lineage: Bacteria
Description: bacterial SSU rRNA
Rfam family: Bacterial small subunit ribosomal RNA
Source: RNAcentral
GUAAGCAUGACGCCGCCAUGCUGCAUGAGUGAUGAAGGUCGUAGGGUAGUAAAUCUCUUUCACCGGGGAGGAUAAUGACGGUACCCGGAGAAGAAGCCCCGGCUAACUUCGUGCCAGCAGCCGCGGUAAUACGAAGGGGGCUAGCGUUUUUCGGAAUUACUGGGCGUAAAGCGCGCGUAGGCGGAUAUUUAAGUCAGAGGGAAAUCCCAGGGCUCAACUUGGGAAUUGCCUUUGAUACUGGCUUCUAGAGUACGGAAGAGGUGGGUGGAAUUCCGAGUGUAGCGGUGAAAUUCGUAGAUAUGGGAGGAACACCAGUGGGAAGGCGGCCCCCUGGUCCAUUACUGACGCUGAGGCGCGAAAGCGUGGGGAGCAAACAGGAUUAGAUACCCUGGUAGUCCACGCCGUAAACGAUGA